RNAcentral lists this long non-coding RNA (578 nucleotides) under Sus scrofa (pig). RNAcentral describes it as "lncRNA (ENSSSCG00015067935.1)". Lineage: Eukaryota; Metazoa; Chordata; Mammalia; Artiodactyla; Suidae. The record is from RNAcentral.
GUUUUCCCUAAAUAAGCUACUUACACUUGAAUUCUUGCCUCAGAGUCUGCUUUGGGGGGAAACCCAAACUUAGAGAUCAUGAAUACUUUUUCCUUUCAAAGAGGCCUGUAUCUUCCUUGAAUUUGAGAAUAGCCGCAGUCUAACUGGAAUCUUUGUUAUCAUCUGAUUUUAGCUGAUCGUCUUUUACACGAUGCAAAGGAUGGGAUGGGGCUUCUUCCCCUCUCCACAGACCUGGGCAGGCUCUUGAAGUAUCCCUGGGCAUCAGGACUUUUGAAAGCUUCCCAGAGGAUUCUAAUGUCAGGAGUGUGAGAGAAGGGCUGUUACCCGGGAUCAGUUUGCCCUCUCUUCCUGGAAAACUAGUAAGUAGCUUACAGCCAAUCUGUCUUCAUUUGUUUGCUUGUGUUUUGUAAAGCUAGACUCCUGAAGACCUUUACUGAUGUUUGAAUAGAGUGCCAUGGAUGACAAUCAAUCCUGAAUUCAUUAACAUGUGGACUUCUCCUUUGUACCAUUUGAUAUUGCCAUCUUAAUGUGAUCGUUAAGAAAAAAACUUACUAUGUUGCCUCUCCCCAGAAGACAGU